GGGGCUGUGGCUCAGUGGUAGAGCGCUCACCUAGCAUGUGUGAGGCCCUAGGUUUGAUCCUCAGCACCA
Molecule: transfer RNA, 69 nt
Filed under: Marmota monax (woodchuck)
Lineage: Eukaryota; Metazoa; Chordata; Mammalia; Rodentia; Sciuridae
Rfam family: tRNA
About the family: Transfer RNA (tRNA) molecules are approximately 80 nucleotides in length. Their secondary structure includes four short double-helical elements and three loops (D, anti-codon, and T loops). Further hydrogen bonds mediate the characteristic L-shaped molecular structure. tRNAs have two regions of fundamental functional importance: the anti-codon, which is responsible for specific mRNA codon recognition, and the 3' end, to which the tRNAs corresponding amino acid is attached (by aminoacyl-tRNA synthetases). tRNAs cope with the degeneracy of the genetic code in two manners: having more than one tRNA (with a specific anti-codon) for a particular amino acid; and 'wobble' base-pairing, i.e. permitting non-standard base-pairing at the 3rd anti-codon position.
Source: Rfam by way of RNAcentral